AGAGUUUGAUCCUGGCUCAGGAUGAACGCUGGCGGCGUGCCUAAUACAUGCUCGAACGGUGUGCAGUAAUGUACACAGUGGCGACCGGGUGCGUAACACGUAGCUGACCUGCCCCUCAGCGGGGGAUAACAGUUCGAAAGGACUGCUAAUACCGCAUACGCUCGCGUCUUUCAGAAAGACGCGCGGAAACUUCUGGGGUUGAGGGAGGGGGCUGCGGCCCAUCAGGUAGUUGGCGAGGUAACGGCUCACCAAGCCGACGACGGGUAGGGGGCCUGAGAGGGUGGUCCCCCACACUGGGACUGACAAACGGCCCAGACUCCUACGGGAGGCAGCAGUAAGGGAUAUUGCGCAAUGGGCGAAAGCCUGACGCAGCAACGCCGCGUGGAGGAUGACGGCCUUCGGGUCGUAAACUCCUUUGGUGGGGGACGAGCAAGGACGGUACCCCACAAACAAGUCACGGCUAACUACGUGCCAGCAGCCGCGGUAAAACGUAGGUGGCGAGCGUUAUCCGGAUUUACUGGGCGUAAAGCGUGUGCAGGCGGGUUGUCAAGUGGUGUAUGAAAUCGCCCGGCUCAACCGGGUGGGGUUAUGCCAGACUGACAGCCUGGAGUUCGGGAGAGGGGCGUGGAAUUCCGGGUGUAGUGGUGAAAUGCCUAGAGAUCCGGAGGAACCCCAGAGGCGAAGGCGGCGCCCUGGCCCGACACUGACGCUCAGACACGACAGCAUGGGGAGCGAACGGGAUUAGAAACCCCGGUAGUCCAUGCCGUAAACGAUGCCAACUAGGCGCCGGGGGUCUCAACCCCCUCGUUGCCGUAGCCAACGCGCUAAGUUGGCCGCCUGGGGAGUACGACCGCAAGGUUAAAACUCAAAGGAAUUGACGGGGGCCCGCACAAGCAGCGGAGCGUGUGGUUUAAUUCGAGCCUACACGAAGAACCUUACCUGGGUUGGACAAGGCGCCAGUAGGGAGACGAAAGUUGACCGACCCGCAAGGGAGGCGUCUCAGGUGCUGCAUGGCUGUCGUCAGCUCGUGCCGUGAGGUGUUAGGUUAAGUCCUGUAACGAGCGCAACCCCCGGGUCUAGUUACACGUGGUCUAGACCGACUGCCCGUGACAAGCGGGAGGAAGGUGGGGAUGACGUCAAGUCAGCAUGGCCUUUAUAUCCAGGGCUACACACACGCUACAAUGGCCGGCACAAUGGGUCGCCAAGCCGCAAGGCGGAGCCAAUCCACCAAAGCCGGUCUCAGUUCAGAUUGAGGGCUGCAACCCGCCCUCAUGAAGUCGGAGUUGCUAGUAACCGCCGGUCAGCUAUACGGCGGUGAAUACGUUCCCGGGCCUUGUACACACCGCCCGUCACGUCAUGGGAGCUGGUCACGCCUGAAGCCAGUCGGCUAACCGCAAGGAGGCAACUGUCCAAGGCAGGGCCGGUGACUGGGACGAAGUCGUAACAAGGUA
This 1451-nucleotide ribosomal RNA is filed under the name metagenome. Its description in RNAcentral is "bacterial SSU rRNA". It matches the Rfam family "Bacterial small subunit ribosomal RNA". The record is from RNAcentral.